CACAUGCAGUCGAGGGGCAUCGGGAUUGAAGCUUGCUUCAAUUGCCGGCGACCGGCGCACGGGUGCGUAACGCGUAUGUAACCUACCUAUAACAGGGGCAUAACACUGAGAAAUUGGUACUAAUUCCCCAUAAUAUUCGGAGAGGCAUCUCUCCGGGUUGAAAACUCCGGUGGUUAUAGAUGGACAUGCGUUGUAUUAGCUAGUUGGUGAGGUAACGGCUCACCAAGGCAACGAUACAUAGGGGGACUGAGAGGUUAACCCCCCACACUGGUACUGAGACACGGACCAGACUUCUACGGGAGGCAGCAGUGAGGAAUAUUGGUCAAUGGACGCAAGUCUGAACCAGCCAUGCCGCGUGCAGGAAGACGGCUCUAUGAGUUGUAAACUGCUUUUGUACGAGGGUAAACUCACCUACGUGUAGGUGACUGAAAGUAUCGUACGAAUAAGGAUCGGCUAACUCCGUGCCAGCAGCCGCGGUAAUACGGAGGAUUCAAGCGUUAUCCGGAUUUAUUGGGUUUAAAGGGUGCGUAGGCGGUUUGAUAAGUUAGAGGUGAAGUCCCGGGGCUUAACUCCGGAACUGCCUCUAAUACUGUUAGACUAGAGAGUAGUUGCGGUAGGCGGAAUGUAUGGUGUAGCGGUGAAAUGCUUAGAGAUCAUACAGAACACCGAUUGCGAAGGCAGCUUACCAAACUAUAUCUGACGUUGAGGCACGAAAGCGUGGGGAGCAAACAGGAUUAGAUACCCUGGUAGUCCACGCAGUAAACGAUGAUAACUCGUUGUCGGCGAUACACAGUCGGUGACUAAGCGAAAGCAAUAAGUUAUCCACCUGGGGAGUACGUUCGCAAGAAUGAAACUCAAGGA
Molecule: ribosomal RNA, 861 nt
Filed under: uncultured bacterium
Lineage: Bacteria
Description: bacterial SSU rRNA
Rfam family: Bacterial small subunit ribosomal RNA
Source: RNAcentral